GCUGGAGUGCAGCGGCGCCAUCUCGGCUCACCGCAACUCUGCCUCCUGGGUUCAAGCGAUGCUUCUGCCUCAGCCUCCUGAGUAGCUGGGAUUACAGAUCUGCUCACUUUAGCACUCUGGCAAUUAAACAGAACCCCCUUCUGGCAGAAGCUUAUUCGAAUUUGGGGAAUGUGUACAAGGAAAGAGGGCAGUUGCAGGAGGCAAUUGAGCAUUAUCGACAUGCAUUGCGUCUCAAACCUGAUUUCAUCGAUGGUUAUAUUAACCUGGCAGCCGCCUUGGUAGCAGCGGGUGACAUGGAAGGGGCAGUACAAGCUUACGUCUCUGCUCUUCAGUACAAUCCUGAUUUGUACUGUGUUCGCAGUGACCUGGGGAACCUGCUCAAAGCCCUGGGUCGCUUGGAAGAAGCCAAGGCAUGUUAUUUGAAAGCAAUUGAGACGCAACCGAACUUUGCAGUAGCUUGGAGUAAUCUUGGCUGUGUUUUCAAUGCACAAGGGGAAAUUUGGCUUGCGAUUCAUCACUUUGAAAAGGCUGUCACCCUUGACCCAAACUUUCUGGAUGCUUAUAUCAAUUUAGGAAAUGUCUUGAAAGAGGCACGCAUUUUUGACAGAGCUGUGGCAGCUUAUCUUCGUGCC
RNAcentral lists this small RNA (632 nucleotides) under Pan troglodytes (chimpanzee). Its description in RNAcentral is "processed transcript". The record is from RNAcentral. Lineage: Eukaryota; Metazoa; Chordata; Mammalia; Primates; Hominidae.